UCCCCCAGCCCCGCCGCGGGCCGCACCUCUCUGGACGGCGCUGUCAGGAGUAGGAGUUCAGCCCCAGCGCAUCCGCGCCAGGACCCGGGCUCUGUGGCCACUGAGUGCAGAACACGCCGAGCUUCGGAGGUCUGGGAGUUCCAAGUGGAAUUUGAAUUUUUAAUCUAAUUGUCUGAUUCGUGAACUCGGAAGCUGACGUCACGCCCAGACGUCCCAAGGUAUGAGCUGUAGAUACGCACGUGAGCGCUGGUGGGAGACGCCAGGCUGGGAUUUCCGCUCGAUCUGGGAAUGAGCAAUGCAACCUAAUGACACCCAGAGCUCCUGAAUCACCCGAGGAAAAUGACGAGAGACUCCCUCCGGUGGGAACGUCUCCUAGAAACAAGGCCUAAGAUGGGGCGACAACAGCCCCACAGCUGUGUCCAGAUGCAGGGAGCACUCGCCUGUGCUGUGAGGGACGGCCGGUGUCAUCGUUGGAGCUUCCUAAGAGUCCCAGAGGCUGAUGCACCUCCCAGACUCUCCUCGGCCCGGCUCCCUGGGCCCUGCUCCAGGGGCUUCAUUGCUCCCUGCCCCGGGUCACCCCUCGGCUCACCGUCUCUCAGGUGUGGAAUAUCCUGCUCCAAUCAAAGCCAUGUCACCUGCGUUGUCCAGUGAAACAUCAGUGGACAGGCGCUGCCCGGGCUCCAGGGAGCUCCUCACUGAGGCUCACUCCCUGUGCCUCUGCCAUCAGCACAGGGGGACAUGCCUGGCUGCCUGUGGGACCAGGGAGGACGCGCGGUGCGGGAGCAGAGCCAGCCACACUGCCGCUGCUGCACUGUUCAUCUGAGUGGCGCAAGGGCAAGGAGAGGACCGUGCAUCCUCAGUGACAGUGGUGCCUCACCAUGCUUUAGAGAAGCCUGUCCUUGCCCCCGAGCUGCUCUCCAUGGAGUCCUGUUUGCGCACCGGAGGUCCCUGUGAAGGAGCGUCCAUCAGGUCUGGACGUGCACCUGACCUCGCUGACUGAGAACGUGGUGACUAAGGUGACUAAUGCUCCAUUACUUCUGCGUCUGAUACCCAGGUCCAUGCAGGCUUCUCUGGCCUCUGUCCUUGGAUCCUUAAAUUAAUCCAAGGAUGCAGCAGUUGGGGCCUCACUGGAGAACUCGUGUAUUUACCACACAGGAGACUGAGGCAGGGAGUGGGUUACGGAGGGGACGGGAGAGCUGAGAAGUCAGAUGGGGGCUGGGAGGCAACUCAGAGGCCAGGAGAGAAGGCGGCGGCUCCAUCCCUGGGCUGGAGCGGGGUGGGUGGUGCUGGCGGAGCCCAGGGCUGGGGUCUCUGGGGAAGCUGGACCCACAGCAGCCUCGGUGUGCAGGAACGACGUGCGCAGCAGGCCGGAGGCUGCCUGAUUCUGACGCGUGUUCAUGGAGGCCCGUGUGCAGCGAUGAGCCCCAGCCAGCAUCCGGGUGAUCCCCAGCCAGCAUCCGGGUGAUCCCCAGCCAGCAUCCGGGUAAUCCCCAGCCAGCAUCCGGGUGAUCCCCAGCCAGCAUCCGGGAACUUGGCUUUUGGAACGUUUCCUGAGUGACUGGUUGACCAGGUCGUUUGUGCACUCAGGGAACUAAGCCGUUCCCUACCAGCUGCCUGGACUCUGCAGUGUGAUCAGCGCACGCCUGACUUCUGUCACCACAGUGGCUGCACAGGCAGAGGGUGCCUAUGUGACCAGCCCCCUGUAGAAGCCCCGCACUCGGAGACCUACACGGCCUCCCUGGGAAGCGACACUCUGGAUGUGUUGCUGACUUGGUUGCUGGAGCAAGACGCGUGUUUGGUGGACUCCCCUGGGUCUUUCUCCCCUGCUGAUCUUGCUACGUGGCCUUUCUCUGUAAUAAGCCAUGGAGUCCACUCUCUAAUCACGCAGUGUGUGGUGGCCCCAGGACCCCUGAGACGUGGAGCUGGCAGGGAAGACAGGCAGCUGCCCGAGGCGCUUGAGGCAGAGAAGGAUGGGGAAUAGCCUGGCUCCUCCCCGCCCCCCAUCACCCACCAGGGCCUCUCACUGUCUGAGCUCAGCCUGAGGCUAGCUGACCAGGGGUGUGGGAAGCCCAACUCUACAAAUUCGCAGCAGAUCAGCCCCCAACCCCCACAAAUUCCCAGCAGAUCAGGAAGGGCGGGGCAUGGAUGAAAGGGCAUCAGGGCCACAGGCCCAGGACAGGCACGUGGGUUGCUCUUGGAGGCAUUUGCAGGUACACUAAGAAGCUCCAGGAAGGACACACACACACACAUAUACACACACAUACACAUACAUAUGCACACACAUACAUACACAGACACACACACACACGUACACAGACACACAGACACACAUACACACACACAUUCCCCUGCCCUCCCAUCUCCAGACCUUGCGGUCCCCAUGAGCUUCCCGAUUCCUGGCACUGCCGGGCUGUCCUGAAGGCUCUUUUGGCCAGAAAUGGGCAGGGAUCUGAGAGCACCUGCUGUCGGGUGAGUCCUACUGUACUCAUGUCAGAGAUUAGGACGAGAAGACACAGGAGUGAGCUGGGCUGGAGUCUCAGCUGCAGAUGACAAGGAGAGCACAGUGGAAAGCCUGGCCCACCUCCCCUCCCCACUGGGCCCCUGGGUGGGAUACCACCAUUUCCAGAAUGGGCUGUGGGUUGCGCGGGCUCCUGAGGUUCGCUGAACCGGGGCUCUGAGGGGUCCCCAAAGUGCUUCCUCCCUGUCCUGUGCCCCCACCCCAUGGGGUGGAAGAGCCGCCCACAGGCCUGGGUUCCGCCAUGCACAAGGGAACUGGACCUUGGUGACUAUUCAGGAGGGAGUCUCCGGGCUGCCCUUCCCAUGACCACAUGUCAAUCCCCUUUGGCCCCAAGGGAAUUUCUCAUAACCCUCCCUUGGAGGAGCCCCCUCGGUGCCAGCCCACCCUCAUCACUCUCUCCUGAACCCCCAUGAACAGACUCCGUGGCGCCUCCACCUGCCUUUGUCCCGCCAACCCUCCCUGUCCAGAGCAGCCAUGGGGCCUCUUACAGUUUUAAGUCUGUCUGCAUCACGCGUUUCCUCAGAGUCUCCUCAGGCUGGGUGAGUCCUCGUCCUAAUAGGCCCUGACUGCCUGGCGCUGCCUACCUCUCCUGCCUCAGCAGGAGCUGCCCACACCUGUCCUCAGCCAACCAAGCUCCUAACCGUCGGGGAUCCUGGGACUCGGGCCUGCCUUUGCUGGACACUUCCGUCAGAUUUCUACCUGGCCACGUUCCACUCUUUCUUAAGGAUUCUGCUUAAAAGUCACGUCCUCUAAGGCUCCUCGCUGGCCUUCCCCACCACAUUGAUGUCCAGAUGAAGAAACAAAAGUUCUGAGAGGUCUUCAGGAACUUGUAUAUAAUUACAGAGGUAAUAAGGAUUGGUUGGAAAUGAAACCAAGGGCUACCUCCUGUCCCCAAAGCUCAUGCUCUUAACCCCUUCACCAUGAGUUUCUGGUUCUAUUCCUAGACUCUAGGCAUCAUAUACUCCUGUUAAUACUUUCUGUCUUCAAGCAAGUCCAUUUACAUUUAUAUUAUAAAAGGUUAAAUUGUUCAUGAAUAUAGCUUCUAGAUUCAGACCACCUGGAUUCAAAUUUAGACUCCACAUAUACUGGCUGUGAGAUAUUGCCCAGUGUGCAUAAUCUUGCCAAGGCCUCAAUUUCUUCACUUAUAGUAUAGGGAAGACAGUAUGGCCUACCUAGUGACAAUGGAUGGUUGUGAGGAUUAAACGAGAUAAAUCAUGUAAAGCAUUUGCCUGACUCUUAUUAAGUGUUCAAUAAUACUCUCAUAGAGUGUAAACUCCUUUGAAAUUAGGCAUAAGACUUUAGGUAUAUAAAGAGCCUGAACAGAGAUGUACUUGAAUUCACGUCUUUAUAAAACACAAAAAUUAUUGCAACAAUCUUCAAAUAGUCUUCAAGCCUUCUCCACACAUUGUUGUAAUCUAUGUAAAGGAAAAUAAAAAAAUCUCAGCCAGGAGCGGUGGCUGAAGCCUGUAAUCCCAGCACUUUGGGA
This 4004-nucleotide long non-coding RNA is filed under the name Homo sapiens (human). RNAcentral describes it as "HSALNT0371833". Lineage: Eukaryota; Metazoa; Chordata; Mammalia; Primates; Hominidae. The record is from RNAcentral.